AUGACAUUCCGAUUUCGCUUUUGUUCGCUUGUGCCACUCCAAACCUCGACAACACAUAUGCUGAUUUCUGCAUGGUUCUAUAUCAGACCUCCAUCUUUCAAUGCAUAUUCUGACCUCGUGACGAACAUCCAGCUAACGAAAUUAGUAUCUAAACUGAAGGAUGUUUCGUGUAGAUUCCAGAAAAUCAAGAAUUGUGUCGAUACGAGUUACAAGGAGAAAGUUGUUACCUUUUAA
Molecule: non-coding RNA, 234 nt
Organism: Vicia faba (fava bean)
Lineage: Eukaryota; Viridiplantae; Streptophyta; Magnoliopsida; Fabales; Fabaceae
Source: the annotation of a GenBank genome assembly